RNAcentral lists this ribosomal RNA (285 nucleotides) under uncultured Pseudomonadales bacterium. RNAcentral describes it as "partial 16S ribosomal RNA". It matches the Rfam family "Bacterial small subunit ribosomal RNA", at positions 524 to 808 of the family's 1533-position model. The record is from RNAcentral. Lineage: Bacteria; Pseudomonadati; Pseudomonadota; Gammaproteobacteria; Pseudomonadales.
UACAGAGGGUGCGAGCGUUAAUCGGAUUUACUGGGCGUAAAGCGUGCGUAGGCGGCUUUUUAAGUCGGAUGUGAAAUCCCUGAGCUUAACUUAGGAAUUGCAUUCGAUACUGGGAAGCUAGAGUAUGGGAGAGGAUGGUAGAAUUCCAGGUGUAGCGGUGAAAUGCGUAGAGAUCUGGAGGAAUACCGAUGGCGAAGGCAGCCAUCUGGCCUAAUACUGACGCUGAGGUACGAAAGCAUGGGGAGCAAACAGGAUUAGAUACCCUGGUAGUCAAGGGCGAAUUCG